GACGAACGCUGGCGGCGUGCUUAACACAUGCAAGUCGAGCGGAAAGGCCACUUCGGUGGUACUCGAGCGGCGAACGGGUGAGUAACACGUGAGUAAUCUGCCCCUGGCUUUGGGAUAGCCACCGGAAACGGUGAUUAAUACCGGAUAUGACACAUUCUCGCAUGAGUUUGUUUGGAAAGUUUUUCGGCCAGGGAUGUGCUCGCGGCCUAUCAGCUUGAUGGUGAGGUAAUGGCUCACCAUGGCUUCGACGGGUAGCCGGCCUGAGAGGGUGACCGGUCACACUGGGACUGAGACACGGCCCAGACUCCUACGGGAGGCAGCAGUGGGGAAUAUUGGACAAUGGGCGGAAGCCUGAUCCAGCAACGCCGCGUGAGGGAUGACGGCCUUCGGGUUGUAAACCUCUUUCAGUACCGACGAAGCGCAAGUGACGGUAGGUACAGAAGAAGCACCGGCCAACUACGUG
Molecule: ribosomal RNA, 463 nt
Filed under: uncultured bacterium
Lineage: Bacteria
Description: partial 16S ribosomal RNA
Rfam family: Bacterial small subunit ribosomal RNA
Source: RNAcentral